Molecule: ribosomal RNA, 632 nt
Filed under: Cunninghamella polymorpha
Lineage: Eukaryota; Fungi; Mucoromycota; Mucoromycetes; Mucorales; Cunninghamellaceae
Description: LSU rRNA
Rfam family: Eukaryotic large subunit ribosomal RNA
Source: RNAcentral
GGCGAGUGAAGAGGGAAAAGCUCAAAGUUGGAACCUGGUAGGCAUAGCUUACCCGGAUUGUAAACUAAAGUUUUCGAGUCGUUUAGUCAGCCAGGUAAAUAAGUCCUCUGGAAAGGGGCGACAUAGAGGGUGAAAUCCCCGUCUUUGGCCUGAGUUUUGAUUAGGCGUUUGGCUUGGAAACGAAGAGUCAGGUUGUUUGGGAAUGCAGCCUAAAAUGGGAGGUAAAUCUCUCCUAAAGCUAAAUAUUGACGAAAGACCGAUAGCGAACAAGUACCGUGAGGGAAAGAUGAAAAGCACUUUGAAAAGAGGGUCAAAAAGUACGUGAAAUUGCUGAAAGGGAACCGUAUGAAAUCAGAUCUACUGGUAGGUAAUCAAUCUUUCCUUUGGGAAGGAUGCACUUGCCUACUAUGUAUGCCAGCGACAUUUUGGUUGGGAGGAAAAAAAUAAAGGAAAUGUAGCUUAGGUUUCGGCUUAGGUGUUAUAGUCCUUUAUAAAAUACUCUCGGCUGGAAUGAGGAACGCAGCAAACCGUAAGGCGAAGAUUUCAGGCGCUUAGAGGGAAUAAUUAGAGAAUUUCUGCUUCGGGUGGUGCUUUGAUUAUUACCUUUAACACGCUUGGAGUUCUUUUAAUUU